This 304-nucleotide long non-coding RNA is filed under the name Trifolium pratense (red clover). Its description in RNAcentral is "long non-coding RNA (TPRA_LNC002912)". The record is from RNAcentral. Lineage: Eukaryota; Viridiplantae; Streptophyta; Magnoliopsida; Fabales; Fabaceae.
UGUGUGAACUGAAUCUUGACUGCUCCGCCGUGCCGGAUGCGGAAGCUCGGAACCGAGCUUCGGAAAGUGACAGAAGUGAGAUCUAGGGUUUAACGGAGGAGAGAGAGAGAUUGGGCUUGGAAACAACCCGAUACUAAUUUGGACCUUUAAUUCGUAGUGGUUGGUUUGAUAGGUCUGUAAAGAAAAAUAAUUUAGUGCAAUACUUUUUGUUUUUGUUUUUAGACUUCUGAUUUUGGACUCAUAAAAGGUCUAUUUUAUUGUAACAAAAAAAAAAUCUAUUUUAUUUUGAGCAACAUAGAUGGGG